RNAcentral lists this long non-coding RNA (1248 nucleotides) under Bos taurus (domestic cattle). RNAcentral's name for it is "long non-coding RNA NONBTAT029928". The record is from RNAcentral. Lineage: Eukaryota; Metazoa; Chordata; Mammalia; Artiodactyla; Bovidae.
GGCCGUUAUAUAACUUUUGUCUGCUAUUAUUUAUCCAGCAGUGAAUCUUGAAAUAAUUUGAAUUACUACAAUUCCAUGGGCUAUAAAUUUUAUUGAGGAUUCAAUUUUAUUAAGGAUUCAGCUUCUGUAUCUUAAUAACAUUGGUAGUCAUGUUUCCCACUUCCUUGGUUGUGGUUAUACUUGGGUGUAAGGAUCAGUUUGUUGUCACUUUAAGUAAGCUAAUUUCAUUAUUCCCUUGCUGCUCUUCAGCUUUUAUGUAAAUCUGACUCCAUUAUCUUUAUUUUCAAGAUGAAGGAAUAUCCAAGGUAAUUAAUUAAAUGACUUAUACAUUGUGAGUGUCAGGUCAACAUUGAUUAGGGCCCGGGUCUUCUAACUUCUUGGUUGGUAUUUUUCCUACUCAGCUCCCCAUUAACCACAUCAUCUGCACCGUCCCAGUUGAAAUCAGUUACUCAAGUGAAAGCUGGUAAAGUGAGGGCUUGAUUUACACAGGUUAAGCAGGUGAAAGCCAAAGCAAACAUUUUCUUUCCCCCACUAAGAAUUUGCUAAUUUGAAAAAUCAUACAUUAUAACAGAAUUUUGAAUGGUUUAGAUUGAGUUCCUUUUCUUAUCUUUUUAAACCAAAUGCAGGAUACAAGCCACAGAGUGCCAGACUUUAAGUCUAUAAUGUGUAAGAAAGCCAAAUUAAACAUUUUUUUUCUCCAUUAGAAUCUACUAAUGUGAAAAAUCAUAUAUUGUAAGUCAGAAUUUUGAACAAUUUAGAUUGAGUCCCACAUUUCUCAUCAUUUUAAACCAAAUGUAGGAUACAAACCACAAGCCAAGUACCAGACUUAAGUCUGUAAUGUGUAAUUUAUACUUAACGGAUACUGUUUCUGUAUAGGUAAUCUUUCAUAUUGAUCUUAGGUGAAUAUUACAAGAUAUUUGUUUUGGACAAAGUAAAGGAUUAAUGGCUUUAGAGUUGGGGGUUCAGAGAAAUUACAUGAAUCAUUCCCUUUCAGGUAGGUAAGACAUUACCUAUUUUAAAGAUAAACCAAACCCAAAGAGGUUGUUAAGUCAACUAAUAUGUACUGCAGUGGAACUAGGGACUACCUCUACUAAUACAGUGUUCUUUUGACUCUUAAUCAUGUUGACUUUGUGAUGUUGUAUGCUUAUCUGUGAACACAUUACCCUUUCUAGAUUUAGCUUUCUGAGAGCUGAAUGCUUGGAGCUCUGUGAGUAAUAACUAAGAAAGGUGGCCUCCUGGCUAGCCAUG